AGUGAACGCUGGCGGUAGGCCUAACACAUGCAAGUCGAACGGCAGCACAGAGGAGCUUGCUCCUUGGGUGGCGAGUGGCGGACGGGUGAGGAAUACAUCGGAAUCUACUCUGUCGUGGGGGAUAACGUAGGGAAACUUACGCUAAUACAGCAUACGACCUACGGGUGAAAGCAGGGGACCUUCGGGCCUUGCGCGAUUGAAUGAGCCGAUGUCGGAUUAGCUAGUUGGCGGGGUAAAGGCCCACCAAGGCGACGAUCCGUAGCUGGUCUGAGAGGAUGAUCAGCCACACUGGAACUGAGACACGGUCCAGACUCCUACGGGAGGCAGCAGUGGGGAAUAUUGGACAAUGGGCGCAAGCCUGAUCCAGCCAUACCGCGUGGGUGAAGAAGGCCUUCGGGUUGUAAAGCCCUUUUGUUGGGAAAGAAAUCCAGCUGGCUAAUACCCGGUUGGGAUGACGGUACCCAAAGAAUAGCACCGGCUAACUUCGUGCCAGCAGCCGCCGUAA
Molecule: ribosomal RNA, 505 nt
Filed under: uncultured bacterium
Lineage: Bacteria
Description: partial 16S ribosomal RNA
Rfam family: Bacterial small subunit ribosomal RNA
Source: RNAcentral